AGAGUUUGAUCCUGGCUCAGAGCGAACGCUGGCGGCAGGCCUAACACAUGCAAGUCGAACGCCGUAGCAAUACGGAGUGGCAGACGGGAUAGUAACACGUGGGAACGCGCCCUUCGGUUCGGAAUAACUCAGGGAAACUUGAGCUAAUACCGGAUACGCCCUUACGGGGAAAGAUUUAUUGCCGAAGGAACGGCCCGCGUCGGAUUAGCUAGUUGGUGAGGUAAUGGCUCACCAAGGCGACGAUCCGUAGCUGGUCUGAGAGGAUGACCAGCAUCACUGGGACUGAGACACGGCCCAGACUCCUACGGGAGGCAGCAGUGGGGAAUAUUGGACAAUGGGCGCAAGCCUGAUCCAGCCAUGCCGCGUGGAUGAUGAAGGCCCUAGGGUUGUAAAGUCCUUUUAACGGGGAAGAUAAUGACGGUACCCGUAGAAUAAGCCCCGGCUAACUUCGUGCCAGCAGCCGCGGUAAUACGAAGGGGGCUAGCGUUGCUCGGAAUUACUGGGCGUAAAGCGCACGUAGGCGGG
This 525-nucleotide ribosomal RNA is filed under the name uncultured Alphaproteobacteria bacterium. RNAcentral describes it as "bacterial SSU rRNA". It matches the Rfam family "Bacterial small subunit ribosomal RNA", at positions 8 to 579 of the family's 1533-position model. The record is from RNAcentral. Lineage: Bacteria; Pseudomonadati; Pseudomonadota; Alphaproteobacteria.